This 289-nucleotide ribosomal RNA is filed under the name Odontosyllis sp. GF-13901_18332. RNAcentral describes it as "partial large subunit ribosomal RNA". Lineage: Eukaryota; Metazoa; Annelida; Polychaeta; Phyllodocida; Syllidae. The record is from RNAcentral.
AUAAUCAUUUGCCUCUUAAUUAGAGGCUAGUAUGAAUGGACAAACGUGAGUCAAGCUGUCUCUUCUCUAUAAAUAAAAAUUAAUCUUUAGGUGAAAAAGCCUAAAUACUAUAAAAAGACAAAAAGACCCUAUUGAGUUUUAUUUAAUAAAUUCUUAUUAAAUUUUUAAAAUUUUAUUGGGGCAAUAUAAAAUUAUGACCAACAUUUUUAAACCAAAGAAGUAUACUUCAUUUUCAACAACUUAAUAUUAAAUAAAAGAUAUGCUACUGUAGGGAUAACAGGCUAAUAUU